UGGGGAAUAUUGCACAAUGGGCGCAAGCCUGAUGCAGCCAUGCCGCGUGUAUGAAGAAGGCCUUCGGGUUGUAAAGUACUUUCAGCGGGGAGGAAGGGAGUAAAGUUAAUACCUUUACUCAUUGACGUUACCCGCAGAAGAAGCACCGGCUAACUCCGUGCCAGCAGCCGCGGUAAUACGGAGGGUGCAAGCGUUAAUCGGAAUUACUGGGCGUAAAGCGCACGCAGGCGGUUUGUUAAGUCAGAUGUGAAAUCCCCGGGCUCAACCUGGGAACUGCAUCUGAUACUGGCAAGCUUGAGUCUCGUAGAGGGGGGUAGAAUUCCAGGUGUAGCGGUGAAAUGCGUAGAGAUGUGGAGGAAUACCGGUGGCGAAGGCGGCCCCCUGGACAAAGACUGACGCUCAGGUGCGAAAGCGUGGGGAGCAAACAGG
RNAcentral lists this ribosomal RNA (429 nucleotides) under Chloroflexota bacterium. Its description in RNAcentral is "Chloroflexi bacterium partial 16S ribosomal RNA". It matches the Rfam family "Bacterial small subunit ribosomal RNA", at positions 355 to 776 of the family's 1533-position model. Lineage: Bacteria; Bacillati; Chloroflexota. The record is from RNAcentral.